RNAcentral lists this ribosomal RNA (481 nucleotides) under uncultured bacterium. RNAcentral describes it as "partial 16S ribosomal RNA". It matches the Rfam family "Bacterial small subunit ribosomal RNA", at positions 30 to 506 of the family's 1533-position model. The record is from RNAcentral.
AUUGAACGCUGGCGGCAUGCCUUACACAUGCAAGUCGAACGGUAACGGGCCUUCGGGUGCCGACGAGUGGCGAACGGGUGAGUAAUACAUCGGAACGUGCCCGAUCGUGGGGGAUAACGAGGCGAAAGCUUUGCUAAUACCGCAUACGAUCUACGGAUGAAAGCAGGGGACCGCAAGGCCUUGCGCGGACGGAGCGGCCGAUGGCAGAUUAGGUAGUUGGUGGGAUAAAAGCUUACCAAGCCGACGAUCUGUAGCUGGUCUGAGAGGAUGAUCAGCCACACUGGGACUGAGACACGGCCCAGACUCCUACGGAAGGCAGCAGUGGGGAAUUUUGGACAAUGGGCGCAAGCCUGAUCCAGCCAUGCCGCGUGCAGGAUGAAGGCCUUCGGGUUGUAAACUGCUUUUGUACGGAACGAAAAGCCUUCUUUUAAUACAGGAGGGUCAUGACGGUACCGUAAGAAUAAGCACCGGCUAACUACGU